CGCCUCUCUCAUCCCCUCAGCGCUUUGCUCUUCAGUGUUUAAACUUUCCUUGAAAGAGACUUACCUCCCAGCAUCCUGUACUACAGUUAUUAAACCCUGUCUUUGCCUUGAACUUGAGCCAGGAUUUAUUGUCACUUUCCCCUCGUGCGUGGCUGCAGGACGCGUCUCGGUGCGCGCACAAUGGAAAGGAGAACGCGUCCGGUGCGUCCGCCCCGGUCCUCCUCCUUUGCUGCUACUGCUGCUGCUUUUGUCUCCGGGACAAACUGACAAAACCCUGCCCAGGAGGCAGAGGCACAUCCCGGGCUGGAGGAUUUGCGUGCCCCCACUCAGAAGAUAAAACAGACACGGAGACUGAGUCGUAAACCCCGAGAGAGAGGACAUGGACGUACUGUAGCCAGCAAUAAGAAUAUAAGGAGGAUGUUGCCCAGCUAUUAUUAGACAUAGAGCUCAAACUGCAGGGAGGCAGAAAAACAAACAGUCUUCACUGAUGCAGAGAGAGAGUGUCAAGGACACACCAGCAACUUCCAGGACGCCUGACGCAAGUUGAAAGGAGGGCAGGCCCGUCUGAAGAGCCAAACUCUGAGACUGAAAAGCACAAGUCAGAUGUUAGACACUUCAGUGUUUCCAAAGCACACAUGAAAGCACGCUGAGGCUGUUCACCCGUGGGAGACCGUUCCGCGUGAAGAUCAAAACAGCAUUCGGCACGGGCAGAUGGAUGAUGCUGCUGAUCCCUCGCUCCGGAGGUGUGGAGUGACAGAUGACAGAGGUUUUGGUACAGCAGGAGGGAGAGCCAAAGAGAGAGGCGACGACGGAGAGACUCGCCACUGCUGAUAACCGAGAGAACAGAAAAGGUCAAGCACAUUGAUUGGGAGUUCGCCCUCACCAUCAUCUCGGAUAAACACCUCAGAUAUGUCCGUUCACAACAGCAGGGUUCAAAGCUGAAUGCAGAUACUGAAACCGACUGAUACCCUGUGGCAAACUGACUACAGCGAUUGGCUGGACAGAGGACGAUGGUGGCCCGCAGCCAUGGAUAUGAGUCAUCCAAUUUGC
Long non-coding RNA from Oreochromis aureus, 1050 nucleotides. The record is from Ensembl. NCBI's taxonomy places the organism in Eukaryota, Metazoa, Chordata, Actinopteri, Cichliformes, Cichlidae.